CCCUUAGAUGUUCUGGGCUGCACGCGCGCUACACUGAUGCGCUCAACGAGUUUAUGACCUUGCCCGGAAGGGUUGGGUAAUCUUUUCAAAACGCAUCGUGAUGGGGAUAGAUUAUUGCAAUUAUUAAUCUUCAACGAGGAAUUCCUAGUAAGCGCGAGUCAUCAGCUCGUGCUGAUUACGUCCCUGCCCUUUGUACACACCGCCCGUCGCUCCUACCGAUUGAAUGGUUUAGUGAGAUCUUCGGAUUGGUGCCACCGAGUCCAGCAAUGGACACGGUGAAUAUCGAAAAGUCGAUCAAACUUGAUCAUUUAGAGGAAGUAAAAGUCGUAACA
RNAcentral lists this ribosomal RNA (332 nucleotides) under uncultured eukaryote. RNAcentral describes it as "partial 18S ribosomal RNA". It matches the Rfam family "Eukaryotic small subunit ribosomal RNA", at positions 1470 to 1796 of the family's 1831-position model. The record is from RNAcentral.